GGGGAAUAUUGGACAAUGGGCGAAAGCCUGAUCCAGCCAUGCCGCGUGUGUGAAGAAGGUCUUCGGAUUGUAAAGCACUUUAAGUUGGGAGGAAGGGUCGUUACCUAAUACGUGACGAUUUUGCCGUUACCGACAGAAUAAGCACCGGCUAACUCUGUGCCAGCAGCCGCGGUAAGACAGAGGGUGCAAGCGUUAAUCGGAAUUACUGGGCGUAAAGCGCGCGUAGGUGGUUCGUUAAGUUGGAUGUGAAAUCCCCGGGCUCAACUUGGGAACUGCAUCCAAAACUGGCGAGCUAGAGUAGGGCAGAGGGUGGUGGAAUUUCCUGUGUAGCGGUGAAAUGCGUAGAUAUAGGAAGGAACACCAGUGGCGAAGGCGACCACCUGGGCUCAUACUGACACUGAGGUGCGAAAGCGUGGGGAGCAAA
RNAcentral lists this ribosomal RNA (424 nucleotides) under uncultured bacterium. RNAcentral describes it as "bacterial SSU rRNA". It matches the Rfam family "Bacterial small subunit ribosomal RNA", at positions 356 to 772 of the family's 1533-position model. The record is from RNAcentral.